GACAGAGGAUGCAAGCGUUAUCCGGAAUUAUUGGGCGUAAAGCGUCUGUAGGUGGCUUUUUAAGUUCGCCGUCAAAUCCCAGGGCUCAACCCUGGACAGGUGGUGGAAACUACCAAGCUAGAGUACGGUAGGGGCAGAGGGAAUUUCCGGUGGAGCGAUGAAAUGCGUAGAGAUCGGAAGGAACACCCAAGGCGAAAGCGCUCUGCUGGGCCGACACUGACACUGAGAGACGAAAGCUAGGGGAGCAAAUGGG
This 253-nucleotide ribosomal RNA is filed under the name uncultured bacterium. RNAcentral describes it as "partial 16S ribosomal RNA". It matches the Rfam family "Bacterial small subunit ribosomal RNA", at positions 524 to 776 of the family's 1533-position model. The record is from RNAcentral.